Molecule: ribosomal RNA, 497 nt
Filed under: uncultured bacterium
Lineage: Bacteria
Description: partial 16S ribosomal RNA
Rfam family: Bacterial small subunit ribosomal RNA
Source: RNAcentral
GAUGAACGCUGGCGGCGUGCCUAAUACAUGCAAGUCGAGCGAACAGACGAGGAGCUUGCUCCUCUGACGUUAGCGGCGGACGGGUGAGUAACACGUGGAUAACCUACCUAUAAGACUGGGAUAACUUCGGGAAACCGGAGCUAAUACCGGAUAAUAUAUUGAACCGCAUGGUUCAAUAGUGAAAGACGGUUUUGCUGUCACUUAUAGAUGGAUCCGCGCCGCAUUAGCUAGUUGGUAAGGUAACGGCUUACCAAGGCAACGAUGCGUAGCCGACCUGAGAGGAUGGUCGGCCACACUGGAACGGAGACACGGUCCAGACUCCUACGGGAGGCAGCAGUAGGGAAUCUUCCGCAAUGGGCGAAAGCCUGACGGAGCAACGCCGCGGGAGUGAUGAAGGUCUUCGGAUCGUAAAACUCUUUUAUUAGGGAAGAACAAAUUUGUAAGUAACUAUGCACGUCUUGACGGUACCUUAUCAGAAAGCCACGGCUAACUACGUG